GAAGGGAUAUUUAUUUCCUUCUCCGAUAUGUUAGGACGGCAGUUCCCACAAACAUCUUCCCCAACCUCGUACUAGCCGGCUGCGAGAUCCAACGACCUCCGCACGGCAGUUCCAUUAGAGAUGCCUCUAGGGAAGAGAUCCACACGACUAUCCUAGAAAUCCGAAGGUAAUUUUGUUUAACUGUUCAUCUUUGUUCGUCACUCACUGGAUCUAGGCUUGAAAGGCAGCACGCAAUCUUGCUGGGCCAAUCCUCAAUCCUUGACACCCCCGCCACACCUCCGGAGGCCGCAAGCCAUAGCCGACGACCGCCCACUGCACCGCCGGUUCGGUAGCCAUCGCGCCUUGUCCGCUUCUCCAUGCCUCACCUCCUCCUCUUCUCUAUUGCCUGCCUCGUCCUCACCAUCACGGCGCCGCGCGUAUGACUCGCGCUUGCUUCUCUCAAUCGCUUCCGAUCCUGGAGCUGGCGGCUGGCCACCCACCCGGUGCGCCCGUGCGAGCUUUCACUGCUCCCUCCCCCUACGGCCUCAUAGGAACGCUCGUUAUGGUUGUGUCCUGAUGCUGCUCAGGCUUGCCGACUCGAGACCGGGGUACGAUUGAUUUUAUUACUGCCUCUGGCCCCCUUGCUGCUAUAGCUAUAUACUAGUCAAUAGUCAUUUACUCCUGCUAGUAUGAGCUAGUAGCAUUCAACACUACUGGAAUUCACAAUUAUUGUGUUCAUUAGGGACAUAAUUAGAUACAACUAGCGUAGCUUUGAAAGCCGCCUAAGGGGCCAGUACUAUUGGUUAAUCCAUUCAGUAACAUUUCUAGCUGUGGUAUGAUCAGUUAAUAUGUUGCUUGUGUGGCUAGUGUUCCCUACAUUUUCUGCUAAUAAGGUUACUUGUAUGAUAUUUUCUAUGAUUAGUAACAUUUCUAGCUGCUAGCCUGCUACCAUGGUAUGAUCAGUAACAUUUUCUGGUGCCUUACACUGUGGCUGCGCGAAUGACUCGCUCUGAGCCUUCAGCGGCCUCCUCGCUCGGCAAAUUCUCCGCCGACGACAGGGAGAAGGUGCUCACUGCCGUUGGAGUACACACGGCGAUAUCUAUUGCACAACCUACUUCCUAGAUACAGGAAGAUGGUGAUAACCACACUGGGAAUCAUGGCAAAAAUCAUACCAAGGUCAAAUAGAAUGGGCAGGCAACUUGAAUCGUUAAGCAGAGGACUGGGAAUCAAGAUUCCAACCCAAAUCACUGAAGGGAACAAAAGCCAGAGCCACCUAUUCAAGCUACUAAGUUUGCAUUAGAGCUAGAGGGAUGGUCGCCAAGGCCAGGGAUUUACUGUCGAGGUGUACAAGUCCAUGGCAGUGGCUGUUUGUGGAGAUUAGAAGCUGAUGAGGGAGUCUCGUAGCAGAACUUCAAUGUUGAGAUAUGGAAAAGCUACAUAUGUAUCAAGAUAUGUGAAGACUGUCCGCCUCAAACAAGAGGAGUAUUUUGGUGGAGCGAAGUUUAUGAAGACUUUUGUGUGUGUGUUUUGAACUGCAGGGCAUGGAGGUACUGCUGGUAACAAGUUCUGGAUGUCAUUAGGUCUACCAUUGAUAGCUACUGUGAACUGUGCUGGUAACACUGGAGCCAAGAACCUCUACAUCAUUUCUGUGAAGGGAAUCAAGGGCGCCUUAACAGGCGUCCUUCUGCCUGUGUUGGUGACCAUGGAGAAUGGAAAGCCUAACCUUAGGAAGAAGGUGAUGCCAGCUGUCAUUGUGAGGUAGCGCAAGCCAUGGUGCUGAAAGGAUGACGUCUACAUGUACUUUGAAGAAGCAAGACAAAUAUAAGGAUGCUGAACCUAGUGCAAUAGAUCUUUUUAAGGAGAUGCAUUGCAGCAAAAAGAAAGGUUUUAGCAAAAAUGUUCAGAAAGCUAUUGUUGAUAUGGAAGAAAUGGUGGCAACAUCAGUUCAAGAUGGACAACAACCGAAAUAUCCUACAGAAGUUGUUUAUAGUGUGCAACUGGGCUCCAGUGUGUUCUUAUGCAAUCUUGGUCUUUAGUCCGUCUCCAAGAAAAGCUCAACAUCAAUAGUUUUUAUAAAGGUUCAACAACUUCAGGAUCGACUGGAGGCCAAGAAGCAAGAAAAAGAUGGACUUUGGGAAGAAGUGUAAACCUUAAAUGCUCAGGCAGUCAUCUCAGGAGACCAUUGAUAGUAUGAAGAGGUCGACCGAAGAAAAUAACAAUCUCCUUAGUCAACUGUUAAGCUUCAAUAGAGGCCAAGUGCCUCCAUCUCAAGUCUACUUGACCACUAUAGGAUCUGCAGCCUUAUGGUUGCUAUAGUAGCUAGUUACAAUAGCUCUGGAUUUGAAUUUAUAGGAUUAUUUUCAAUUAAGCUUAAUGUUUAAUUCCUUGAGUUGAAGUUAUAGGAUUUUCUUUGGAUCUUAUGUAAAAGGAUUUGUAGAUAUAUGUUUUGAAGUUAUAUGAUUCUUUGUUGGAUGAAAUAUUUGUGUUAAACAAAUUCAUAAGAUAUUUUGGUUGUGAUGUGUAAUAUUCUACGACGAUAUGAAUUUAUAUGACAUCUUCCUUCUGAUGA
This is a long non-coding RNA of Zea mays, 2548 nucleotides long. RefSeq lists it as uncharacterized. The transcript has 6 exons. The record is from RefSeq and is a predicted model, not a curated record. NCBI's taxonomy places the organism in Eukaryota, Viridiplantae, Streptophyta, Magnoliopsida, Poales, Poaceae.